AAAAAAAAAAAUAGGGGGUCUAAUCAAUUUGAGAGGAUUAGUUAUGUAAACAAACACCAUAUAGUAAUGGCGUUCAAGAUGGCGGUUCAAUUAUUUGCCCAAAAUAGCCACGCUAAAUUUCAAGGAUUUCAUCGCAAUCGGCUUUCUGUUUAAGUUGGGGUUUCAUUAAAUAAUUGUUAAAUGUUCAUUGUUAUAAUUAUUAAUUGUUUACACGAAAUAUUUUAUGAAUAAUUUAAUAAAUUUUAAUAAAAUCACGUGACCCCAGCGAAGUCUACGAUUGGUCAGUGGAUAGCGCGGACAUUACAGAGACGAUUUGAAAAUUGACCGAGAUGAAAACCUCAAAAAGAAAUCGGAGAAUAAUAGCAAAAUUCUUGUCCCCUGUAGUCAUUCUAAACUUGGGGGAAAAGCAUAAAGACUACAACUGACAAAUUGAAGGGAAUGGCAUGAAAGAAGAAAAAAGGAAUUGCGUGGUACAUUCAAAUGGAGGAUCAGUUUUUAUGAGUCCAGAUGAAAAUCGUAACUGUACAGCAAUGAGGAUUUACCCCGGUAAAAGGUCUAUUACUGUGCAGAAAAUUCUGUGGUGCAAUGGGUAGGAACUCUAUGAAAGUAAUGAAGAUUACAUGAAUUGCACAUGUUGCAAGUGAAUAAUGUGUGGCAAAAAAGGACUUGAAAUGGAGUAUACUUUCAGUACCUUUACAGUGUCUUUGUGCAUUUAAAUUACAUUAAUUAUGUUUUGUAUAUGCUGAAAAGGUGUGUUUAUUUUUUUUCUUGCAAAGAAUGAUAUUAAAUAUCAUUAUUUUGUUAAAGGUAACAACAUUAAUUUUUUUAAAAUAUAGAUUCAAGUCAUAUAUAGAUUCUGUUUGUAGAGAGGAUUUAAAGAGAUAUUUUUCAUAGAUAUUUUCAUGUAGCAUCAUGCAAUAAAUUU
Saccostrea cuccullata (small rock oyster) is the source of this 925-nucleotide long non-coding RNA. RefSeq lists it as uncharacterized. NCBI's taxonomy places the organism in Eukaryota, Metazoa, Mollusca, Bivalvia, Ostreida, Ostreidae. The record is from RefSeq and is a predicted model, not a curated record. The transcript is spliced from 3 exons.